CAAAUCAGGUAGGAUUACCCGCUGAACUUAAGCAUAUCAAUAAGCGGAGGAAAAGAAACUAACAAGGAUUCCCCUAGUAACUGCGAGUGAAGCGGGAAAAGCUCAAAUUUAAAAUCUGGCGGUCUUUGGCCGUCCGAGUUGUAGUCUGGAGAAGUGCUUUCCGCGCUGGACCGUGUACAAGUCUCUUGGAACAGAGCGUCAUAGAGGGUGAGAAUCCCGUCUUUGACACGGACUACCAGUGCUUUGUGAUGUGCUCUCAAAGAGUCGAGUUGUUUGGGAAUGCAGCUCAAAAUGGGUGGUAAAUUCCAUCUAAAGCUAAAUAUUGGCGAGAGACCGAUAGCGAACAAGUACCGUGAGGGAAAGAUGAAAAGCACUUUGGAAAGAGAGUUAAACAGUACGUGAAAUUGCUGAAAGGGAAACGCUUGAAGUCAGUCGCGUUGGCCAGGACUCAGCCUUGCUUUUGCUUGGUGCAUUUUCUGGUUGACGGGCCAGCAUCGAUUUUGACCGCUGGAAAAAGGUUAGGGGAAUGUGGCACCUUCGGGUGUGUUAUAGCCCUUAGUCGCAUACAGUGGUUGGGAUCGAGGACCGCAGCACGCCUUUAUGGCCGGGGUUCGCCCACGUUCGUGCUUAGGAUGCUGGCGUAAUGGCUUUAAACGACCCGUCUUGAAACACGGACCAAGGAGUCUAACAUGCCUGCGAGUGUUUGGGUGGAAAACCCGAGCGCGUAAUGAAAGUGAAAGUUGAGAUCCCUGUCGUGGGGAGCAUCGACGCCCGGACCUGAACUUCGGUGAUGGAUCUGCGGUAGAGCAUGUAUGUUGGGACCCGAAAGAUGGUGAACUAUGCCUGAAUAGGGUGAAGCCAGAGGAAACUCUGGUGGAGGCUCGUAGCGAUUCUGACGUGCAAAUCGAUCGUCAAAUUUGGGUAUAGGGGCGAAAGACUAAUCGAACCAUCUAGUAGCUGGUUCCUGCCGA
This 971-nucleotide ribosomal RNA is filed under the name Fomitopsis pinicola. RNAcentral describes it as "partial large subunit ribosomal RNA". It matches the Rfam family "Eukaryotic large subunit ribosomal RNA", at positions 1 to 964 of the family's 3401-position model. Lineage: Eukaryota; Fungi; Basidiomycota; Agaricomycetes; Polyporales; Fomitopsidaceae. The record is from RNAcentral.